UACGGAGGGUGCGAGGGUUAAUCGGAAUUACUGGGCGUAAAGCGCACGUAGGCGGUUGAGUAAGUCUGCCGUGAAAGCCCUGGGCUUAACCGAGGAAUGGCGGUGGAGAAUGCUGAGCUAGAGUGUGAGAGAGGGGGGUGGAAUUCCCGGUGUAGCGGUGAAAUGCGUAGAGAACGGGAGGAACACCAGUGGCGAAGGCGGCCCCCUGGUUCAACACUGACGCUGAGGUGCGAAAGCGUGGGGAGCAAACAGG
Molecule: ribosomal RNA, 253 nt
Filed under: uncultured bacterium
Lineage: Bacteria
Description: partial 16S ribosomal RNA
Rfam family: Bacterial small subunit ribosomal RNA
Source: RNAcentral